AUUGAACGCUGGCGGCAGGCCUAACACAUGCAAGUCGAACGGUAACACAGAGGAGCUUGCUCCUUGGGUGACGAGUGGCGGACGGGUGAGUAAUGUCUGGGAAACUGCCCGAUGGAGGGGGAUAACUACUGGAAACGGUAGCUAAUACCGCAUAACGUCUUCGGACCAAAGUGGGGGACCUUCGGGCCUCACACCAUCGGAUGUGCCCAGAUGGGAUUAGCUAGUAGGUGGGGUAAUGGCUCACCUAGGCGAGGAUCCCUAGCUGGUCUGGGGGCAUGGCCAGCCCAGCUGGAAAUGAGACCCGGUCCAGAGUCCUACGGGAGGCAGCUGUGGGGAAUAUUGCAGAGUGGGCGCAAGCCUGAUGGAGCCAUGCCGCGUGUAUGAAGAAGGCCUGCGGGUUGUAAAGUACUUUCAGCGGGGAGGAAGGCGUUAAGGUUAAUAACCUUGGCGAUUGACGUUACCCGCAGAAGAAGCACCGGCUAACUCCGUGCCAGCAGCCGCCGUAA
This 506-nucleotide ribosomal RNA is filed under the name uncultured bacterium. RNAcentral's name for it is "partial 16S ribosomal RNA". It matches the Rfam family "Bacterial small subunit ribosomal RNA", at positions 29 to 523 of the family's 1533-position model. The record is from RNAcentral.